Molecule: ribosomal RNA, 460 nt
Filed under: uncultured Bacteroidota bacterium
Lineage: Bacteria; Pseudomonadati; Bacteroidota
Description: bacterial SSU rRNA
Rfam family: Bacterial small subunit ribosomal RNA
Source: RNAcentral
CCUACGGGCGGCUGCAGUGAGGAAUAUUGGUCAAUGGGCGCAAGCCUGAACCAGCCAUCCCGCGUGCAGGAUGACGGCCCUAUGGGUUGUAAACUGCUUUUAUACAGGAAGAAAAAUCCCUACGUGUAGGGACCUGCCGGUACUGUAUGAAUAAGCAUCGGCUAACUCCGUGCCAGCAGCCGCGGUAAUACGGAGGAUGCAAGCGUUAUCCGGAUUCAUUGGGUUUAAAGGGUGCGUAGGCGGCUUUUUAAGUCAGUGGUGAAAUCCUGUCGCUCAACGAUAGAAUUGCCAUUGAUACUGAAGAGCUUGAGUUCAGUUGAGGUAAGCGGAAUGUGUAGUGUAGCGGUGAAAUGCUUAGAUAUUACACAGAACACCGAUUGCGAAGGCAGCUUACUAAACUGACACUGACGCUGAUGCACGAAAGCGUGGGGAUCGAACAGGAUUAGAUACCCCUGUAGUC